Molecule: ribosomal RNA, 1556 nt
Filed under: Staphylococcus aureus
Lineage: Bacteria; Bacillati; Bacillota; Bacilli; Caryophanales; Staphylococcaceae
Description: 16S ribosomal RNA
Rfam family: Bacterial small subunit ribosomal RNA
Source: RNAcentral
UUUAUGGAGAGUUUGAUCCUGGCUCAGGAUGAACGCUGGCGGCGUGCCUAAUACAUGCAAGUCGAGCGAACGGACGAGAAGCUUGCUUCUCUGAUGUUAGCGGCGGACGGGUGAGUAACACGUGGAUAACCUACCUAUAAGACUGGGAUAACUUCGGGAAACCGGAGCUAAUACCGGAUAAUAUUUUGAACCGCAUGGUUCAAAAGUAAAAGACGGUCUUGCUGUCACUUAUAGAUGGAUCCGCGCUGCAUUAGCUAGUUGGUAAGGUAACGGCUUACCAAGGCAACGAUGCAUAGCCGACCUGAGAGGGUGAUCGGCCACACUGGAACUGAGACACGGUCCAGACUCCUACGGGAGGCAGCAGUAGGGAAUCUUCCGCAAUGGGCGAAAGCCUGACGGAGCAACGCCGCGUGAGUGAUGAAGGUCUUCGGAUCGUAAAACUCUGUUAUUAGGGAAGAACAUAUGUGUAAGUAACUGUGCACAUCUUGACGGUACCUAAUCAGAAAGCCACGGCUAACUACGUGCCAGCAGCCGCGGUAAUACGUAGGUGGCAAGCGUUAUCCGGAAUUAUUGGGCGUAAAGCGCGCGUAGGCGGGUUUUUUAAGUCUGAUGUGAAAGCCCACGGCUCAACCGUGGAGGGUCAUUGGAAACUGGAAAACUUGAGUGCAGAAGAGGAAAGUGGAAUUCCAUGUGUAGCGGUGAAAUGCGCAGAGAUAUGGAGGAACACCAGUGGCGAAGGCGACUUUCUGGUCUGUAACUGACGCUGAUGUGCGAAAGCGUGGGGAUCAAACAGGAUUAGAUACCCUGGUAGUCCACGCCGUAAACGAUGAGUGCUAAGUGUUAGGGGGUUUCCGCCCCUUAGUGCUGCAGCUAACGCAUUAAGCACUCCGCCUGGGGAGUACGACCGCAAGGUUGAAACUCAAAGGAAUUGACGGGGACCCGCACAAGCGGUGGAGCAUGUGGUUUAAUUCGAAGCAACGCGAAGAACCUUACCAAAUCUUGACAUCCUUUGACAACUCUAGAGAUAGAGCCUUCCCCUUCGGGGGACAAAGUGACAGGUGGUGCAUGGUUGUCGUCAGCUCGUGUCGUGAGAUGUUGGGUUAAGUCCCGCAACGAGCGCAACCCUUAAGCUUAGUUGCCAUCAUUAAGUUGGGCACUCUAAGUUGACUGCCGGUGACAAACCGGAGGAAGGUGGGGAUGACGUCAAAUCAUCAUGCCCCUUAUGAUUUGGGCUACACACGUGCUACAAUGGACAAUACAAAGGGCAGCGAAACCGCGAGGUCAAGCAAAUCCCAUAAAGUUGUUCUCAGUUCGGAUUGUAGUCUGCAACUCGACUACAUGAAGCUGGAAUCGCUAGUAAUCGUAGAUCAGCAUGCUACGGUGAAUACGUUCCCGGGUCUUGUACACACCGCCCGUCACACCACGAGAGUUUGUAACACCCGAAGCCGGUGGAGUAACCUUUUAGGAGCUAGCCGUCGAAGGUGGGACAAAUGAUUGGGGGUGAAGUCGUAACAAGGUAGCCGUAUCGGAAGGUGCGGCUGGAUCACCUCCUUUCU